UGCCGGCCGCGAUUCGCCCUUCCGGAGAAGGAGCCUGAGAAACGGCUACCACAUCCAAGGAAGGCAGCAGGCGCGCAGAUUACCCAAUCCCGACACGGGGAGGUAGUGACAAUAAAUACUGAUACGGGGCUCUUUUGGGUCUCGUAAUUGGAAUGAGUACAAUCUAAAUCCCUUAACGAGGAACAAUUGGAGGGCAAGUCUGGUGCCAGCAGCCGCGGUAAUUCCAGCUCCAAUAGCGUAUAUUAAAGUUGUUGCAGUUAAAAAGCUCGUAGUUGAACCUUGGGUCUGGCUGGCCGGUCCGCCUCACCGCGAGUACUGGUUCGGCUGGACCUUUCCUUCUGGGGAACCUCAUGGCCUUCACUGGCUGUGGGGGGAACCAGGACUUUUACUGUGAAAAAAUUAGAGUGUUCAAAGCAGGCCUUUGCUCGAAUACAUUAGCAUGGAAUAAUAGAAUAGGACGUGCGGUUCUAUUUUGUUGGUUUCUAGGACCGCCGUAAUGAUUAAUAGGGAUAGUCGGGGGCGUCAGUAUUCAGUAGUCAGAGGUGAAAUUCUUGGAUUUACUGAAGACUAACUACUGCGAAAGCAUUCGCCAAGGAUGUUUUCAUUAAUCAGGGAACGAAAGUUAGGGGAUCGAAGACGAUCAGAUACCGUCGUAGUCUUAACCAUAAACUAUGCCGACUAGGGAUCGGGCGGUGUUUCUAUAAUGACCCGCUCGGUACCUUACGAGAAAUCAAAGUUUUUGGGUUCUGGGGGGAGUAUGGUCGCAAGGCUGAAACUUAAAGAAAUUGACGGAAGGGCACCACAAGGCGUGGAGCCUGCGGCUUAAUUUGACUCAACACGGGGAAACUCACCAGGUCCAGACAAAAUAAGGAUUGACAGAUUGAGAGCUCUUUCUUGAUCUUUUGGAUGGUGGUGCAUGGCCGUUCUUAGUUGGUGGAGUGAUUUGUCUGCUUAAUUGCGAUAACGAACGAGACCUCGGCCCUUAAAUAGCCCGGUCCGCAUUUGCGGGCCGCUGGCUUCUUAGGGGGACUAUCGGCUCAAGCCGAUGGAAGUGCGCGGCAAUAACAGGUCUGUGAUGCCCUUAGAUGUCUGGGCCGCACGCGCGCUACACUGACAGGUCAGCGAGUACAUCACUUGACGAGAGUCGGGUAUCUGUAAACCCUGUCUGCUGGGGAUGAGCAUGCAUAUGCUCUCACGAAAUGCUAGCUAGGCCUCCGAGUCAUCAGGCUCGUGCGAUACCGUUUCCUGCCCAUGUAAAACAACGAC
This 1266-nucleotide ribosomal RNA is filed under the name uncultured Aspergillus. RNAcentral describes it as "SSU rRNA". It matches the Rfam family "Eukaryotic small subunit ribosomal RNA", at positions 360 to 1673 of the family's 1831-position model. The record is from RNAcentral. Lineage: Eukaryota; Fungi; Ascomycota; Eurotiomycetes; Eurotiales; Aspergillaceae.